RNAcentral lists this ribosomal RNA (253 nucleotides) under uncultured bacterium. RNAcentral's name for it is "partial 16S ribosomal RNA". It matches the Rfam family "Bacterial small subunit ribosomal RNA", at positions 524 to 776 of the family's 1533-position model. The record is from RNAcentral.
UACGUAGGGGGCAAGCGUUGUCCGGAAUCAUUGGGCGUAAAGCGCGUGUAGGCGGCUCGAUAAGUCUGCUGUGAAAGUCCAAGGCUCAACCUUGGGAUGCCGGUGGAUACUGUCGAGCUCGAGUCCGGAAGAGGAGUGUGGAAUUCCUGGUGUAGCGGUGAAAUGCGCAGAUAUCAGGAGGAACACCAAUGGCGAAGGCAGCACUCUGGGACGUGACUGACGCUGAGACGCGAAAGCGUGGGGAGCGAACAGG